UACGUAGGGUGCAAGCGUUGUCCGGAAUUAUUGGGCGUAAAGAGCUCGUAGGCGGUUCGUCGCGUCGGCUGUGAAAUCCCGAGGCUCAACCUCGGGUCUGCAGUCGAUACGGGCGGACUGGAGUUCGGCAGGGGAGACUGGAAUUCCUGGUGUAGCGGUGAAAUGCGCAGAUAUCAGGAGGAACAUCGGUGGCGAAGGCGGGUCUCUGGGCCGAUACUGACGCUGAGGAGCGAAGGCUAGGGGAGCGAACGGG
This 253-nucleotide ribosomal RNA is filed under the name uncultured bacterium. Its description in RNAcentral is "partial 16S ribosomal RNA". It matches the Rfam family "Bacterial small subunit ribosomal RNA", at positions 524 to 776 of the family's 1533-position model. The record is from RNAcentral.